UUUCCAGACUUCCUGGAAGCAAGCGACCCGCGGAACAAUGAAGACAUCAGGCCUCUGCUGUGACAAACAGCUUAUGAGUUUCCCUUCCCCAGGAAUCCUUCUGGGAAAUCUGGAAAAGCCUGCGAUGCAAACUGCCAGCUCUCCCGGGGUGAAGCAGCCGUUCAGGAAUUCUUCCAAACAAUGCUCCACCUCUGUUUAGCAGAGUUCACAGAUUCGUCAUGCAAUGCCCGCAGGAAUACAGUGCAUUUUCUGCUCUGCCGCAAAAUCACUUUCUGCUCCACUGGCGUCCUCUUGCCCAUUUGUUGGACCAUGCAGCGCCUCAUGUGAUUUAUCGAGUCUGAUUUCAAGACACAUUAAUUCACCCCCUUCAUUAGCAGUGAGGGUUCCUGAAGCGGGCCUCUCCAACAUUUUCCUGCAGAACAUCUCUGCACAACUCCAGAUGUAACAUCUGCCACUUCAUGCUCUGUUAGUUGACAAAUUUUGUGCAAAAUUGCGGAACGUUAAACCUGCGUGCGAGGAUGCUGCGUCGGGUAAGCCUCCAUCGCAUCCUCGCCCACUGUGACACUUCUAAAAGACGAGAAGACAGGCAGGGAAACGUUUCCUCUUCAAAUGUCGUCUUUGGGAACAAAAUGGGGCGACGUGAGAAAGAAACCGGGAAAAUGAGGAGGAAUUACAACAAGGUAGCCACGCAAGGCAGCGGGACCUGGAAAUGAUGAAACAGAAGCCCACUUUAGAACAGAGAGCCCCAAAAGUCUCACAAGUCCUCCAGUUUAUCAAAGCCAAUCCGGGAGGCAAAGCCGCCCCCUCCCCAGUCAUUUCAUGCCCUCACGCAUCUUUUCAUCUCUGCAGGGAGGUGAAGUUUGAAACCAGAUAAAUAGCUUAGCCCAUUUACUGGCAAGCAGAACACCUUGAUUUCCCUCCGAAUAUUUGUUCAUAGCUGGGUAGCGUUUCAUCCAGAAUUUUUACAUUUGCUUGUUUGCAAUAAAAAAAGGUGGGGGGCAAUGGUUACUAAAUAUAGCUCUAUUGACCCACUUAUUCUAUAGGAGUAUUUGGCAUUGUUGGGAGGGAUUUAUCACAUCACUUAAAACCUUUAAAGAAACAUCCAGUCAUCAUCUUUUCAGCAUAAUCCCGAGGUUAUGACAUCAAGCGCAGGAUUUUUAUUUUUUAUUUAAAUGCUCAGCAGGACUGGAAUCUGGUUUCUCUCUGAUUCCCGUGAAGCCGGUGAAUCACGGCUGUUUCUCAGAGCUCAGGUUCCUUUGAAAGUCUUUUCCGGAGAAGCAGCUUCUCUCAGGCUGCGAUUGUGGACGGGAGCAACGGGAAAAAGUUUGCACUCGACUUGUUUGUCACACCAGUGGCUUCACAGCUGCUGUUAACCAGCCUUCUGUGAGGACUCAAAUAGAAAUCUGCUCAUUUAUCCACAUAUUCCUGUAAUAAAAUCCCUCCAAAAUUCAUCCAAUUUUCUGCCAACAUAAAUAGAAAUCUAUGCGUCUAUUUUUACAGUAAAUAUGUAAACAUGCAUUUGUGGAGAGCACCCUACUGAGAACUUUUCUGCAGGUUCUGUUGCUGUCGACAGCUUUAAAAUACCAUGAGGAUUAUUAUGGUUUGGAGAGAAAGUUUCAAACCAUAUGAACCAACCAGCUUUGUCUUUUUCUCAGCAAUGAAAACACAAUUUAAACUUCGAGAGUUCCAAACCAUCGUCCUUCAGGAUCCAGGGAGGCAGAUGGAAACAAUAAUUUAUAGUUUUCUAAGUAAAUGACAGCACACCUCUAUGAGCAAUGUUCUGAUCACUCACUCUCACCCAAACCAGACAUUCUAAAGUAACAAUUUUUAUGCUAUUUAAGGCAAAAUAAAAAAAAAAAA
Long non-coding RNA from Oryzias melastigma (Indian medaka), 1860 nucleotides. RefSeq lists it as uncharacterized. The record is from RefSeq and is a predicted model, not a curated record. NCBI's taxonomy places the organism in Eukaryota, Metazoa, Chordata, Actinopteri, Beloniformes, Adrianichthyidae. The transcript has 2 exons.